CAGGCAAUAAAACUGAAGGCUAGCAGCACCCUGUGAGUAGCUGUCUAAUAUGCUGGGGCCAUGGUGAUGAGGCCGACCUUGAAAACCAGGUUGAGUAGUUCAAGGGGAGGUAGGAAACCAAGGGUAACAGUCUACUGGGUAAGUCUGGGGGGUGUCUCAUGAAUGGAGUCCUCAGGCUUCUGGUGUUCAUAGACUAGUCAGCUUCCAGAGUGACUGGAGCAGGACUUGGAUUAGAGGCAGGUUCAGAGGGGGCAGUCUGGGUCUAAAAGCAACACCCAAAUGUCAGGUCCUCCAGCCCGCUUGAGUCUGCUGUGAUGGAUCCAAGGGAGCGAUAACUGUAACUUUAACAGUGAUGCGUGACACCAGAACCACUGGGUAGGGUUCCUUCCAUAUAGCUUGGAGAUACUCUUUUUUCCAAUCCUUUACCCAUAUGUGAUCCCCUGGUUGGUAUGUAUGAACUGGAGUGUCUGAAGGAAUGGGUAUUUUCUCUAAAAUUGUGUGAUUUAUUUUAGUGAGAACCUGACCUAGUUGGGGUAUUUUUUUUUUUUUGGUACCAGGGAUCGAACUUGGGACCUUGCACUUGUGAGGCAGGUACCAGAACCAUUGAGCUAAAUCCCUGGCCCUGACCUAUUUGUUUGAGCUCUUGGGACUAAACUAGAUUCUUCAAGUUGUCUUAUAUCUCCCAUAAAGUUUCUAAUUAUAGGAGGUGGUCUUCCAUAGAGGAUUUUAUAAGGGGAGAAACCGGAGGGUACCGGCAUGCAUUGGACCCUUAACAAUGCCGGGGCAGGAGGUCAGUCCAGGGAACUCCUGUUUUUUGGCAAAACUUGGACAGGGUGGACUUUAGAAUUCUGUUUAUCAGUUCCACUUUCCCAGAGCUCUGGGGUCGGUAGGCAGCGUGCAAGUUCCACUUGAUUUUGAGCAGGCCAGCAAGUUGUUGGAUAACAUCAUCUACGAAAGCUGGACCUUUGUCACUCCCAAUGGAUGCUGGGAGUCUGUAUCUGGGAAUUAUUUUUUUGAGGAGGGCCCUUGGCACUUCAGAAGCCCUUUCAGUUUGGAUAGGAAGGGCCUCUACCCAUUAAGAGUAUGUGGAAACAAUGACCAAUAGGUAUUUAUGGCCUCGACUGGAUUUUAUCUCAGUGAAGUCUGCCUCUAAAUCUUCCAGUGGACAGGAGCCAGUGUACUGAGUUUCAGCUGGUGGUUGUGGCCAUUGGAGUGGGUUGUUUUGGCACAGGUUUGGCUGUGCUGGCUGACCAUGGCACAGAUGCUAGACACUUGUGGGAUGUAGUAGAAUCUGCUCAGGAAGGUCUCCACAGCUGUCUUUCUGGAGUGGGUGACCUGAUAAUGUGCCUGAACAAAAGUGUAAGUGAUUUUUUUUGGGGGGGAUUAUCACCUUUUUAUCCUGAAGGAGCCACCACCCGCUGGGCCCUUUGGAAUCUUCCUCCCUUUGGGUACAUUUAUCUUCUUUUUUGGAGUAGCAGGGUCCUUUUUUAAAGUCAGGCAGGAUUACUUACUAUUGGAAGCCACAGAGUGAGAACAAGUUCCAGGUUCUAAUGCAGGUUGGUUGGAGCCAUUGGUGUGGCAGCCAUCUGGGCAGUUAUCAGCAAAAUGGUUUUUUUAGGCCAAUAGUGUCUUUGACCUUCUGAUGUCCUUUAAAGUGCAUGAUGGCUAUUUUCUUGGGAGCCCAGAUGGCCUCCAGUAGUUUGAUUAGUUCUUCUCUAUUUUUAAUGUUUGCCUUCAGAAUUCAGGAGUCCCCUCUCCUUAUAUAUGGCUCUGUGGACAUGGGUGGUGGCAGAGGCAUACACUUAGAAUCAGUGUAGAUGUUGACCACCUUAUCUUUGGCUCACAGUAAGGCUUGGAUCAGUGCCCACAGUUCUGCUCUUUGUGCUGACCAUCCUGGGGGUAGAGGUUUUGCCUAGAUGAUUUGGUCCACCAUGGUUACGGUGUAGCCAGCCUACUGGAUCCCCUCAGAGACGUAGCUAUUCCCAUCCAUAAACAGAGUAUAGUCUAGUCUAGAGAGGGGCUCAUAGCAUAGGUCCGGUUGGCUUGCAAACAGUUCAUCUGUGACCUCUUCACAGUCAUGAUCUGGGGCCCCUUUCUCAGAUGGGAGAAAAGUAGCUAGGUUUAGUGUCUGUACUGUCUCCAGAUGGAUUCUGGGGUUUUCACAGAGGAGGCCCUGAUACUGGCCAUCCUGGCAUGGGAUAGCCAUCUGUGUCCUUUGUUGUCUAGCAGGCUGAUGACUGAGUUAGGCACCUUUACAUUUACAUUCUGGCCUAAUGUUAGCGUGUCUGCUUCUUGGAUCAAGCAGAUGGUGGCUGCUAAGGCCCUUAAGCAUGGGGGCCAUCCUUUGGCUACAGAGUCCAUCCUUUGGCUCCCAGUCUCCUGGGAGAGUCGGCCUCUCCCAGGGUCCAGUGGUCUGGGUCAGCACCCCCAGGGCAAUGUGGUCUUUCUCAUGUUCAAACAGGUUAAAUUCUCCAGUCACAUUGGGCAACCCCAGAGCUGGGGUGCUGACAAGCAGGGCUUUGUCUUGAAAGCUUCUUGCUGUUCUAGUCCUCAAAUAAGUGACUCUUUUUCAGAGCCCUUCAGUACUGCGUAGAGGACUUUGGCCUUUUGUGCAAAUCCUGGAAUCCAGAUUCUGCAGAAGCCUCCUGCCCCCAAGAAUUCUCAACGGAGCAUAUUACCUUUUUCCACUCUGGUCCUAGAGUUCGGUGUCCCUUGGUGAUGUCAAAGUCCUUUGGUGGUGUCAAAGUACUGCACCUGCAGUCUUCUUUGGAGUUGUUGGCCAGGAGGAGGUCAUCAACAUAUUGCAGGAGGGUACACUUGAGAUCAGCCCAAGGGGAGACUGUAAGGUCUGAGGCCAGGGCUUCUCCGAAGAGGGUGGGUGAGUUUUUGAAGCCCUGAGGCAGUCUAGUCCAUGUCAGCUGAGUUUUUCUUCUAUCACUGGGAUCUUCCCAUUCAAAACCAAAGAUUGACUGGCUCACAGGGGCUAGCUGGAAAUAGAAGAAGGCAUCUUUAAGAUCCGGGCAAGCCGGGCAUGGUAGAGGCAGAGGCAAGAGGAUCACCUCGAGUUCGAGGCCAGCCUGGGCUACAUAGUGAGUUCAGAGCCAGCGUGGACUACAAAGCAAGACCCUGUCUCAAAAAAAAGAUCAAGGCAAGUAUACCAUGUAGCAUCCGGUGGGAGAUGGCUGAGUAACCUGUAAGGGUUGGAGACCACAGGAUGUAGUGUAGGGCCAGGGAUUUAGCUCAGUGGUGCUGUGCCGGCCUCACAAGCACAAGGUCCUGAGUUCAAUCCUCCAUACUGCAAAAAACCCACAUAAAACCAGGAUGUAGAGUAACAACUGCAUUGUUGACGGCCCUCAGUCCUGGACUGGCUGAUCUUCUCUAUUUGGCUUUUUCACCAGUAUGAGCAGGGUGUUCCACAGGGACUGGCAUUCAAUGGGUAUGCCAGCCUCACAGAGUUUCUGUAAAUGUCCUCUUAUGCCCACUCUAACCUCCUGGGACAUCAAGUAUUGUGACCCUGACAGGGGAGGCCCUGGGCUUUAGUUUGACCAUGAUGAGGAGGGCAGUUGAUGGCCAGACCUGGGGGAGAGUUUUCUCCCCAAACGUUGGGAAUCUCAGUCAGGAAACAGUCUGGAUUGGUUUCAGAGGAGACUUUCUGAUAGAACUACCAUUUUUCUUCUCAUGGGACAGUCACGGCCAUUAUCAGGCUAGUAGGGCUGGGAAGAGUAAGCUGAGCUGGUUGUUUAGAGGAGAAAGUUAUGGUUUCCCCCGAACUUUGUUAACAGGUCUUGCCCAAGCAACAGGACUGGACACUCAGGGAGAUAGAAGAAUUUGUGUGUAAUUUAGUGUCCUCUUAGUUGACAGGUUCUGGCUUGGCAAAAAGCUUUUACAAUUUGAUUCCCGGUAGCCCAAACAAUAGCUGUUUUUCUCUGGGUUGGGGGUGGCUACUGGAGUUGUCACAACAGAAUGUUCAGUGCCUGUGUCAAUCAAGAGUCAUUGGUUGGUCUUCUACUGUCAUUUGGAUCAUGGGUUCUCAGGGGCUGAGUUGGAAAGAGCCCAGUCUGUCCUAGUCUGUGUCCAUCCCUGCCAGACCAGUAAGGGCAGGGUCAGUGUGUGAUUCCAUGUGGGGCUUUGACUUUGGUCUUUUCCCAGGAGCUUGCCUCGGGUUUGGGCAUUCAUUUUUCCAGUGGCUGAAUUCCUUGCAGUAUACACAUUGGUCCUUAGUCUUUUAUAGAAGUCUCCUGGUGAUUUUUCUGGCUUUUGGAGGUUAGUGGUAGUCUUGGUCAUGUUUGUGGGCUUUUUGGCCCCCUCUCAGAGUCCAUGGAGUAGGGUCUUACGGUAUUGGUCCACCUGGCCUCAGCCCUCAGGUGUGGAAUAGUCCCAGUUGGUUUGGCCAUCAGGGACUGCUGCAUGUACCCAGGCAGUGUAGUUGGCAGAGGCAUUAGGGGCUUCACCUUCAGCCCAGCAUUGGGUUCUCAGUAGGAUGCAGCACUGCUCUUCAGUGUUGAAGAGAGUGAUGAGCAGCUGAUGGUAAUCCUCCCAGGUGGGCUGGUGGGUCUGGAAGAUGGUCUACAAGGUCAAUGAUGGCUUGGGGCUUCUCUGAGUAAGCUGGGUUGUGAUUCUUCCAAUUCAGGAGAUCUGAGGUUGAGAAGGGCUGGUAGCAGUAAAAGGGGCAUCCUGGCUGGAGACUUCCAUCUGGUUGAAUCUGAGGUGCACUUCGGGUCUCUCUGAGGGGCAGCUGCAUGGAAGGGCCCUGAGCAGAGUGGAGAUGAUGAGCCAGAGGGGUUUGCAGUGGGUCAGAGGCUGGCUGGGUGGUGGGCCUAGGGGACAGGUGUUCGAGCAGAGAAGCCAGAGGAGAGACUGAGGGUGACAGGGUGUCAGGCAGCUGGGGUACUGACAGAGUAGAAGGAGCAGCGUCAGAGUAUCACAGAGGCACCAGGGUGGGCCUUCCUAUGGAUCUCUUGGAUAAAUGGGCUUUUGACAGCCCAGAGGAGGGAUCUGACACAUCAGACAGAUUUUGCUCUUUCUGUUGGUGACAACACAGAAGUGGACCUAUAGGGGAAGGGUCAAGGCAAUUUGCAACCAGGAAUCUAUGUAGGGAAGCUGAUCAGUGUGGCCAGAGGGUCGUCUGAUGAUGUUCCAGAGCUGGUGAACAGUUUUGACUUUCAAGGUCCCUUCUAGGGGCCAAUCGGGAUCAAGUUUAGGCCAGUCUGUUUCACAGAAGGUUCUCGGCAGACGGUUUCAUCUUGAUCCCAUAGUCUCCAUCAAAGCCCUUUUAAAAAUUCCUCAACAGGGGUGGGGAUUUAGCUCAGUGGCACCACACUUGCCUUGAAAGUGCAAGGUCAUGAGUUCAAUCCCCGAUACGGCAAAAAAGAAAAAAAAAAUUCCUCAACAUACACUCCAGGACCAUAGGUUUUGA
This 5416-nucleotide long non-coding RNA is filed under the name Heterocephalus glaber (naked mole-rat). Its description in RNAcentral is "lncRNA (ENSHGLG00000032933.1)". The record is from RNAcentral. Lineage: Eukaryota; Metazoa; Chordata; Mammalia; Rodentia; Bathyergidae.